RNAcentral lists this ribosomal RNA (641 nucleotides) under uncultured bacterium. RNAcentral's name for it is "partial 16S ribosomal RNA". It matches the Rfam family "Bacterial small subunit ribosomal RNA", at positions 17 to 702 of the family's 1533-position model. The record is from RNAcentral.
GGGGGGCUCAGAUUGAANUUUGGCGGCAGGCUUAACACAUGCAAGUCGAACGCCCCGNAAGGGGAGUGGCAGACGGGUGAGUAACACGUGGGAACAUGCCCAAAGGUACGGAAUAUUCUCGGGAAACUGGGAGCAAUACCGUAUGUGCCCGAAAGGGGAAAGAUUUAUCGCCUUUGGAUUGGCCCGCGUUGGAUUAGCUAGUUGGUGGGGUAAAAGCCUACCAAGGCGACGAUCCAUAGCUGGUCUGAGAGGACGACCAGCCACACUGGGACUGAGACACGGCCCAGACUCCUACGGGAGGCACCAGUGGGGAAUCUUGGACAAUGGGCGCAAGCCUGAUCCAGCCAUGCCGNGUGAGUGAUGAAGGCCCUAGGGUUGUAAAACUCUUUCGUGGGGGACGAUAAUGACGGUACCCCAAGAAGAAGCUCCGGCUAACUUCGUGCCAGCAGCCCGNGGUAAUACGAAGGGGGCUAGCGUUGNUCGGAUUUACUGGGCGUAAAGCGCGUGUAGGCCGGUNUGNAANAGUNGNGGGUGAAAUCCCGAAGGCUCAACCUUGGAACUGCCUCCAAAACUUCCAGCCUGGACUCAAGCAGAGGCNAGUGGAAUUGCCAGUGUNGAGGUGAAAUUNCUAGAUAUUCNCU